CCCGUCGCCGGCCCUCCCCCUCAUCCACGGCCCACCACACAUCCUAGAAUGCUGUGGUGAUGCAGCUGGGGCAGGCAUCGAUGACGCCAUCACCGCGGCACACCACGAUGCCGUAUUAUACAGUCUUGGUCAGUUCGUGUGGAUGAGGCGCUAGUGAAUAGAGCAGUAGAUAGGAGCUCAAGGUUUGCUUUGUAGGUGCUCUUGUUCAUGUGGGUGUCUCUGUAGUAGCAGAUAUGCGUCAGUGGAUUGACGGCAGCGACGAAUGGCUCGAAGCCGAGAAUAAGCAGCAAGACAAUGAUCAUGGCUCUGCCUAUAAUUCAGCUCUGCCCCCUCCAGCAGCUUCCUUGUUAUAAGCAUCAUUUGGAAAACUCGUCUGUCUUACGGUUUGACCGCUUACUUGUUUAGUGAUUAUCUGAUGAUAUCAGCUUGCAGGCCGUGCAAUCAAAUUUCGUGGAAUACAAUAGUGCUGCCGUCCAGGCAUCAGCCUAUGUAAUGGCUACAAGCAAUGCAAGACAAGGGGAGAGAACAAUAACAAAUCGAGUUUCAGUGUUUCCGUCAACAGAGAAGAGGUCUUCUUAUGACCUUGAGGGAGGUAUUCCGGCGGAGAGGGACCGGCAGGAGAGGGACAGUUCAUCUCGCUGCUCAUGACCUCCAUCAGAUUCUCCUCCGAGCUUGCCUGCCGAGAUGCCAGCACUGCUUGUUUGUAUAGAUGCUCAAGAAGACUGCUCAAAGGAGGACAGUUUGUAGGAUAGUUUGUGUGACAAUGCGAGCACUACCUGUUUGUAUAAAUGCUGAAGGAGAAAACUGUUCGGAGAAGGACAUGUGUGUGAGAGAGAGGGAAGGAGAAACAGGGGCCGGGAGUAAGAGGUGAAGAGCAAGGAGAACCACAUGUUGUCCCUUUGUCAUCGACACCAUCCCGCCGUUGCAGGCUUGUCCCGGUGGCCUUUCGCUUGGUGUGCUGUUACCCUGGCCUGGUUCUUUGUCUCUGCCUCUUUCAUGGUUUCUUCCUUUCGAAGAUUUAUUUUUUGUCUCCCUUCUAAAGGUAAGUUCUGCCUUAGCAUCCUUCAUGUUGUAACACAAACAAAAUAUUAGUGAUCUGACAGCAACACCAUUUUCUGUUGAGUUAUUUAAUUUAGAUGAUUGCUGCUAUACAACUUGACUGCCAAAUUCUGUAGCAUUUUCUACUUGAUAAAUAAAGAACCAGGUCACACCAUUUUCUUUACUUUAUUAUUCGGAUUAUGGGUGUGUUUGGUUGAUGUCCUCGUCGUUGCGCGCCUGGCCUGAGCUGUGCCUGAAGUCUGCCUGGUGAUUGUUUGGUUGGCAUCCUGAGAAAGAAAGUACUUGCCUGGCCUGGUUGUGCCGGUAGUGUGAUUAGCCUGGCCAGUAGAAUAAAAAAUACAAAAAGGGACGUAGUCAGCCCAGGCAGCGUGAUUUGCCUGGCCCAGGCGCCCCAUCCCAUGCGCCUGGACAUGCUUCCACACCAGCCUGGUACUAAUUGGAUCAAGUAGCAGCAAAGGUUUGCUAUUUAAAAAUUCUAUAAGCACACAAGGACAGAACAGCAAGCAAGGAAACGAACCAAACGUUCACCGACCAGGCUUGCCUGGCCAGGCACAAUUUUCCUUCAUCUCAGGCAUUGUCCAGGCACCAUUUUUUCUCAGGCAAAGCGUCCAGGCCUUCAACCAAACACGCUCUAUAUGCAGGAGUUUUGGUGUGGAUUAUAGAUUCUACAGUUACUCUUAGCUUGUCAGCUUUGUUGAUCCUAAUUUACGAUGUUCACCAAGGAUUACAGACCAUGAUACCUUCA
This is a long non-coding RNA of Triticum dicoccoides, 1804 nucleotides long. RefSeq lists it as uncharacterized. NCBI's taxonomy places the organism in Eukaryota, Viridiplantae, Streptophyta, Magnoliopsida, Poales, Poaceae. The transcript is spliced from 4 exons. The record is from RefSeq and is a predicted model, not a curated record.